This 468-nucleotide ribosomal RNA is filed under the name uncultured bacterium. RNAcentral's name for it is "partial 16S ribosomal RNA". It matches the Rfam family "Bacterial small subunit ribosomal RNA", at positions 28 to 507 of the family's 1533-position model. The record is from RNAcentral.
GACGAACGCUGGCGGCGUGCUUAACACAUGCAAGUCGAACGGAAAGGCCCUGCUUUUGUGGGGUGCUCGAGUGGCGAACGGGUGAGUAACACGUGAGUAACCUGCCCUUGACUUUGGGAUAACUUCAGGAAACUGGGGCUAAUACCGGAUAGGAGCUCCUGCUGCAUGGUGGGGGUUGGAAAGUUUCGGCGGUUGGGGAUGGACUCGCGGCUUAUCAGCUUGUUGGUGGGGUAGUGGCUUACCAAGGCUUUGACGGGUAGCCGGCCUGAGAGGGUGACCGGCCACAUUGGGACUGAGCUACGGCCCAGACUCCUACGGGAGGCAGAAGUGGGGAAUAUUGCACAAUGGGCGGAAGCCUGAUGCAGCAACGCCGCGUGCGGGAUGACGGCCUUCGGGUUGUAAACCGCUUUCGCCUGUGACGAAGCGUGAGUGACGGUAAUGGGUAAAGAAGCACCGGCUAACUACGUG